RNAcentral lists this long non-coding RNA (552 nucleotides) under Marmota monax (woodchuck). Lineage: Eukaryota; Metazoa; Chordata; Mammalia; Rodentia; Sciuridae. The record is from RNAcentral.
AUUUCUAGACCUGCCCCUAAAACAUUCCCAUACACAGUCCUGCUGCCUCUUUGUCUCUAAUGAUUCAGUGAAGGUGGAUGUAGUAAACUAGGAAGUCAUGUGAUCAAGAUGGCAUAGCCACAGAAAGGAAGGAGCAGGGGUUACUGCCCAGAGGAGAGCUAUCUGCUGGUCAGGUACACUCCCCUUUAGACACCAUAUGAGGAAGGAAUAAACUUCUGUCAUGUUUAUAUUUUGCAGGUUGGUUAGUAAUGUGAUUGUAGUUAACAUUACCCAAACUAAUACAGAAGGCCUAUAGUUUUCAGUGAUUGAAGGGUUUUGACAGAACCAUGGUUGUAAGAGGUUGAAAUAAAAUGGUGCACAGAAUUGGGAAACAGGAGGCCAUGGAAUAUCUACAUAGAUGUUGAAAUCACAAAGAAGCAUGGGAAUUUGUGCUAUAGAUAAUGACAGUGAGUUCAGGGCUAAAAUAUUUAAGAAAUGUGGAGUGGUUUAGGGAUCUAAAGAUGAGAGAGAGAGAGACAGACAGACAGAGACAAACAGAUACAAAUAGUGUAU